UCGCCUGUUUAUCAAAAACAUGUCUUUUUGAAUUUAAUUUAAAGUCUAGCCUGCCCACUGAAAUUUUUUAAAUGGCCGCAGUAUCUUAACUGUGCAAAGGUAGCAUAAUCAUUAGUCUUUUAAUUGAAGGCUGGUAUGAAUGGUUGGAUGAAAUAUUAACUGUUUCAUAUAAAUUUAUAAUAGAAUUUUAUUUUUUAGUUAAAAAGCUAAAAUAAUUUUAAAAGACGAGAAGACCCUAUAAAUCUUUAUAUAUAAAUUAUUUUAAUUAUAUAGAUAAAUUAAAUUAUUAUAAAUUUAUAUAUUUUAUUGGGGUGAUAUUAAAAUUUGUUAAACUUUUAAUUUAUAAUAAACAUAAAUUAAUGAAUUAUUGAUCCAUUAUUAAUGAUUAAGAAAUCAAGUUACUUUAGGGAUAACAGCGUAAUUUUUUUAGAGAGUUCAUAUUGAUAAAAAAGAUUGCGACCUCGAUGUUGGAUUAAGAUACAGUUUUAGGUGCAGCAGCUUAAACUUAAAGUCC
RNAcentral lists this ribosomal RNA (514 nucleotides) under Megaselia scalaris. RNAcentral's name for it is "partial large subunit ribosomal RNA". The record is from RNAcentral. Lineage: Eukaryota; Metazoa; Arthropoda; Insecta; Diptera; Phoridae.